Molecule: ribosomal RNA, 548 nt
Filed under: uncultured Glomus
Lineage: Eukaryota; Fungi; Glomeromycota; Glomeromycetes; Glomerales; Glomeraceae
Description: SSU rRNA
Rfam family: Eukaryotic small subunit ribosomal RNA
Source: RNAcentral
UUGGAGGGCAAGUCUGGUGCCAGCAGCCGCGGUAAUUCCAGCUCCAAUAGCGUAUAUUAAAGUUGUUGCAGUUAAAAAGCUCGUAGUUGAAUUUCGAGACCGGUCUACUGGUCGUGCUUUUGUACGUACUGGUUUUAUUGGUUUCUCCUUUCUGACGAACCAUAAUGCCAUUAAUUUGGUGUUAUGGGGAAUCAGGACUGUUACUUUGAAAAAAUUAGAGUGUUUAAAGCAGGCUCACGCUUGAAUACAUUAGCAUGGAAUAAUGAAAUAGGACAUCAGAUUCUAUUUUGUUGGUUUCUAGGAUCGAUGUAAUGAUUAAUAGGGAUAGUUGGGGGCAUUAGUAUUCAAUUGUCAGAGGUGAAAUUCUUGGAUUUAUUGAAGACUAACUACUGCGAAAGCAUUUGCCAAGGAUGUUUUCAUUAAUCAAGAACGAAAGUUAGGGGAUCGAAGACGAUCAGAUACCGUCGUAGUCUUAACCAUAAACUAUGCCGACUAGGGAUCGGAUGAUGUUAAUUUUUUAAUGACUCAUUCGGCGCCUUACGGGAAAC